GACGAACGCUGGCGGCGUGCUUAACACAUGCAAGUCGAACGAUGAAGCCGGAGCUUGCUCUGGUGAAUUAGUGGCGAACGGGUGAGUAACACGUGAGUAACCUGCCCUGACUCUGGGAUAACUGCUAGAAAUGGUAGCUAAUACCGGAUACGACCCUCGGAGGCAUCUCCAGGGGGUGGAAAGAAUUUCGGUCAAGGAUGGACUCGCGGCCUAUCAGCUAGUUGGUGAGGUAACGGCUCACCAAGGCGACGACGGGUAGCCGGCCUGAGAGGGUGACCGGCCACACUGGGACUGAGACACGGCCCAGACUCCUACGGGAGGCAGCAGUGGGGAAUAUUGCACAAUGGGCGCAAGCCUGAUGCAGCAACGCCGCGUGAGGGAUGACGGCCUUCGGGCCGUAAAGCUCUUUAGGCUGGGAAGAAGUGUGUAUGAGGAAAUGCGUACACGUUGACUGUACCAGCAGAAUAAGCACCGGCAAACUCUGUGC
This 487-nucleotide ribosomal RNA is filed under the name uncultured bacterium. Its description in RNAcentral is "partial 16S ribosomal RNA". It matches the Rfam family "Bacterial small subunit ribosomal RNA", at positions 28 to 508 of the family's 1533-position model. The record is from RNAcentral.